ACCUUUUCCUCUGUUCUACCGGCAGGUCGUGCUUUGACCACAGCUGCCCUUGGGGAGGCUGGCACAGAGCCACAGCUAGAUCCUCAGGCUGCUUGUCAAGGGUGGGGCAGCAGGACAUGCCACUCUUCCUCCAUGAGCCCAGCCAGGACCUCCACUGGGCACUUGGCACUGCCACGUCUUCCUAAGGAGAGAGCUGGAGAAGGAACCCAAGGGAGCCAGACUCCAGAGCCCUGGGACCCAGACAGAGCUCCAGGAAGGUUCAGGUGGAGUUCAAAUCACCAGUAGCAAAAGCGCCUUCCAGAAGUGAAGAGAUUACCAGUUCUCAGAGAGCAGGGAGCCACAGGUGAGUGAGGAAGGAGAGAUAGACAGUCUGCAGCAUGUUUGAUC
RNAcentral lists this long non-coding RNA (387 nucleotides) under Ictidomys tridecemlineatus (thirteen-lined ground squirrel). Its description in RNAcentral is "lncRNA (ENSSTOG00000030875.1)". Lineage: Eukaryota; Metazoa; Chordata; Mammalia; Rodentia; Sciuridae. The record is from RNAcentral.